Molecule: small RNA, 1553 nt
Filed under: Pan troglodytes (chimpanzee)
Lineage: Eukaryota; Metazoa; Chordata; Mammalia; Primates; Hominidae
Description: retained intron
Source: RNAcentral
AAAGUAAAGUGUUUCCGGCUCCGGUGUCAUGGCCGGCUCCUACCCUGAAGGUGCACCUGCAGUCCUCGCCGAUAAGAGGCAGCAGUUCGGAAGGCGGUUCCUGAGCGAUCCCGCGCGCGUCUUCCACCACAAUGCCUGGUAAUCACUCUGCCCCUUCGCCCGGCCUGUCGCUGGCCCUCUGUCCCGCCGCCUCGGAGCACUCCGAAAAGCCCCUGACCGCCGGCCACGAGUCAAGCUGCCCUACCCGAGGCACUCUCCAAGGGGAGAGAAGCUCCUAGGCCAGCGACUCACCCUGCCCGCAGCCAGGACGUGAGGCCCCUAAGCUGCCCGUUUGAUUUUCUCAGGGACAAUGUGGAGUGGUCGGAAGAGCAAGCCGCGGCGGCGGAGAGAAAAGUCCAGGAGAACAGUAUCCAGCGGGUGUGCCAGGAGAAACAAGUUGAUUAUGAGAUCAAUGCCCACAAAUACUGGAAUGACUUCUACAAAAUCCACGAAAAUGGGUUUUUCAAGGAUAGACAUUGGCUUUUUACCGAAUUCCCUGAGCUGGCACCUAGCCAAAAUCAAAAUCAUUUGAAGGAUUCGUUCUUGGAGAACAAGAGUGAAGUAUCUGAAUGUAGAAACAAUGAGGAUGGACCUGGUUUAAUAAUGGAAGAACAGCACAAGUGUUCUUCGAAGAGCCUUGAAUAUAAAACACAGACUCCUAUGGAGGAGAAUGUAACUCAGAAAAUUAGUGACCUGGAAAUUUGUGCUGAUGAGUUUCCUGGAUCCUCAGCCACCUACCGAAUACUGGAGGUUGGCUGUGGUGUGGGAAACACAGUCUUUCCAAUUUUACAAACGAACAAUGACCCAGGACUCUUUGUUUAUUGCUGUGAUUUUUCUUCCACAGCUAUAGAACUGGUCCAGACAAAUUCAGAAUAUGAUCCUUCUCGGUGUUUUGCCUUUGUUCACGACCUGUGUGAUGAAGAGAAGAGUUACCCAGUGCCCAAGGGCAGUCUUGAUAUUAUCAUUCUCAUAUUUGUUCUUUCAGCAAUUGUUCCAGACAAGAUGCAGGAGGCUAUCAACAGGCUGAGCAGGCUUCUGAAACCUGGCGGGAUGAUGCUUCUGCGAGAUUACGGCCGCUAUGACAUGGCUCAGCUUCGGUUUAAAAAAGGUCAGUGUCUAUCUGGAAAUUUCUACGUGAGAGGUGAUGGAACCAGAGUUUACUUCUUCACACAAGAGGAACUGGACACGCUUUUCACCACUGCUGGACUGGAAAAAGUUCAGAACCUGGUGGAUCGCCGACUGCAGGUGAACCGAGGGAAGCAACUGACAAUGUACCGGGUUUGGAUUCAGUGCAAAUACUGCAAGCCCCUUCUGUCCAGCACCAGCUGAGAGGCACCUGCUACCAACACGAUGCAAGCCCAUUGUGUUUCCGGGCUUUUUUAAAAAAAAAUUUGUAGCACUGGGCGUGGUGCAUGCCUGUAAUCCCAGCCACUCAGGAGGCUGAGGCGGGGAGGAUCCAUUGAGCCCAGCAGUCCAGCCUGGACAAAAUAGUGAGAGACCCUGUAUCUGAAAGU